This 200-nucleotide ribosomal RNA is filed under the name uncultured bacterium. RNAcentral describes it as "partial 16S ribosomal RNA". It matches the Rfam family "Bacterial small subunit ribosomal RNA", at positions 8 to 220 of the family's 1533-position model. The record is from RNAcentral.
AGAGUUUGAUCCUGGCUCAGGAUAAACGCUGGCGGCGUGCCUAACACAUGCAAGUCGAACGUGGCAUGAGCAAUCGUGCCGAGUGGCGGACGGGUGAGGAACACGUGGGUCAUCUACCUUGAGGUGAGGAAUACCGGUGAGAAAUCGCCGACAAUACCGCAUGGCCUCGGGCGACCGAGGAAAGCCCCAUAGGGGUGCCA